UCCCUGGUGGUCCAGUGGCUAAGACUCUGCCCUCCCAAGGCAGGGGCCUGGGUUAGAUCCCUGGUCAGGGAA
Molecule: transfer RNA, 72 nt
Filed under: Bos taurus (domestic cattle)
Lineage: Eukaryota; Metazoa; Chordata; Mammalia; Artiodactyla; Bovidae
Rfam family: tRNA
About the family: Transfer RNA (tRNA) molecules are approximately 80 nucleotides in length. Their secondary structure includes four short double-helical elements and three loops (D, anti-codon, and T loops). Further hydrogen bonds mediate the characteristic L-shaped molecular structure. tRNAs have two regions of fundamental functional importance: the anti-codon, which is responsible for specific mRNA codon recognition, and the 3' end, to which the tRNAs corresponding amino acid is attached (by aminoacyl-tRNA synthetases). tRNAs cope with the degeneracy of the genetic code in two manners: having more than one tRNA (with a specific anti-codon) for a particular amino acid; and 'wobble' base-pairing, i.e. permitting non-standard base-pairing at the 3rd anti-codon position.
Source: Rfam by way of RNAcentral